UGGGGGAUAUUGCACAAUGGGCGCAAGCCUGAUGCAGCGACGCCGCGUGGGGGAUGAAGGCCUUCGGGUUGUAAACUUCUUUUGCUCUGAACAAGGCGCACUUUGGGGUGUGUUGAGUGUAGGGGUUGAUUAGCGCCGGCUAACUACGUGCCAGCAGCCGCGGUAAUACGUAGGGCGCGAGCGUUGUCCGGAAUUAUUGGGCGUAAAGGGCUUGUAGGUGGCUGGUUGCGUCUGUCGUGAAAGCUCAUGGCUUAACUGUGGGUUUGCGGUGGGUACGGGCUGGCUUGAGUGCAGUAGGGGAGGCUGGAAUUCCUGGUGUAGCGGAGGAAUGCGCAGAUAUCAGGAGGAAUACCGGUGGCGAAGGCGGGUCUCUGGGCUGUUACUGACACUGAGGAGCGAAAGCAUGGGGAGCGAACAGG
This 419-nucleotide ribosomal RNA is filed under the name bacterium. Its description in RNAcentral is "partial 16S ribosomal RNA". It matches the Rfam family "Bacterial small subunit ribosomal RNA", at positions 355 to 776 of the family's 1533-position model. The record is from RNAcentral.